UUUAAACUGACACCUGGUUUAUUUAUUUCUAGGCGAUAAUUAAAAUGAAACGCUGCGCCCCCGCCGCCGCCACCCCGCCACCCGCCUCCCUCCCCUCCGCCGCCGCCGCCGCCGCCGGCGCCCGCCGGGCGCGGGCAGGAUCCGGCCCCCGGGGGCCGCCCGGUGCCGGCCGCCCCUGCCCUGCCCCGCAGCGCCCGGGGGCUGCAGCCGGCCGGCCGGGCGGAGAAGUUUCCCGGGGGCCUCCCCCCCCCUCCACCUGCACCCCUGCGCCCUCGCCCCGCUCCCACCGGAGCCCCGCCGUCGUAGUGAUUGCUGUUCUUCUGCCACCUCCAUCCGCAAUGGCAACUUCACCUCCAAGUGCAGACAGCUUGGCCGUCUUCAAAGAAUUGGCCUGA
RNAcentral lists this long non-coding RNA (395 nucleotides) under Anser brachyrhynchus (Pink-footed goose). RNAcentral's name for it is "lncRNA (ENSABRG00000007285.1)". The record is from RNAcentral. Lineage: Eukaryota; Metazoa; Chordata; Aves; Anseriformes; Anatidae.